UACGGGGGGGGUAAGCGUUGUUCGGAAUUACUGGGCGUAAAGGGCUCGUAGGCGGCCAACUAAGUCGGACGUGAAAUCCCUCAGCUUAACUGGGGAACUGCGUCCGAUACUGGAUGGCUUGGAUUUGGGAGAGGGAUGCGGAAUUCCAGGUGUAGCGGUGAAAUGCGUAGAUAUCAGGAGGAACACCGGUGGCGAAGGCGGGUCUCUGGGCCGAUACUGACGCUGAGGAGCGAAAGCGUGGGGAGCAAACAGG
RNAcentral lists this ribosomal RNA (253 nucleotides) under uncultured bacterium. Its description in RNAcentral is "partial 16S ribosomal RNA". It matches the Rfam family "Bacterial small subunit ribosomal RNA", at positions 524 to 776 of the family's 1533-position model. The record is from RNAcentral.